AUGGUGUGUCAGCAUUUGCCUAUUUACCUGAAGGGCCUGCCAAGAGCGUCGCCAAUAUCAGUGUAGUUUGUGCUACAUAAAUGGAUUUUUAAAAACUUGUAGCACAUGGUGUCCUGGGAAUCCUGGCUAUGUAAAUUUCACCUCCCCUAUUCAAAGAUAUGUGGACCUGCUACCUCAUUAUCAGGGGAAGUGUUGGUUAUGCUAGUGUGCAUACUCACUUGGGAAGAAAUGGAAGUAGGAGAGGAAGCAAACACAAGGAUGGACUCACUAUGAACCAUGAAGACAGGGAUCCACAUCAACUGGAUGAUUUAGCUCUCAUUUUGUAUAACUGAUGUAUCAUAGUUGCAUCUUUUAACUGUCCUUUUGUGAACUUGAUGUAUGGUGUCUUGGCGGUUAUGUCUAGAAUAGACUGAAGUGUAUGUACGUGACAUGGU
Molecule: long non-coding RNA, 434 nt
Organism: Triticum dicoccoides
Lineage: Eukaryota; Viridiplantae; Streptophyta; Magnoliopsida; Poales; Poaceae
Exons: 3
Source: RefSeq, a predicted model, not a curated record